UUGAAGGAGACUACACAACUAUGCAAAGC
This 29-nucleotide non-coding RNA is filed under the name Homo sapiens (human). The record is from RNAcentral. Lineage: Eukaryota; Metazoa; Chordata; Mammalia; Primates; Hominidae.